CAUCACUGGUGUUCGGGUUGUCAUGCCAAUGGCACUGCCCGGUAGCUAAAUGCGGAAGAGAUAAGUGCUGAAAGCAUCUAAGCACGAAACUUGCCCCGAGAUGAGUUCUCCCUGACCCUUUAAGGGUCCUGAAGGAACGUUGAAGACGACGACGUUGAUAGGCCGGGUGUGUAAGCGCAGCGAUGCGUUGAGCUAACCGGUACUAAUGAACCGUGAGGCUUAACCUUACAACGCCGAAGCUGUU
Molecule: ribosomal RNA, 244 nt
Filed under: Escherichia coli
Lineage: Bacteria; Pseudomonadati; Pseudomonadota; Gammaproteobacteria; Enterobacterales; Enterobacteriaceae
Also listed under: 1 other name
Description: partial 23S ribosomal RNA
Rfam family: Bacterial large subunit ribosomal RNA
Source: RNAcentral